RNAcentral lists this ribosomal RNA (427 nucleotides) under uncultured eukaryote. RNAcentral describes it as "bacterial SSU rRNA". It matches the Rfam family "Eukaryotic small subunit ribosomal RNA", at positions 1167 to 1608 of the family's 1831-position model. The record is from RNAcentral.
CCACCAGGAGUGGAAUCUGCGGCUUAAUUUGACAACGCGGGAAAACUCACCAGGUCAGGACACGGUAAGGAUUGACGGACUGAAGGCUCUUUCUCGAUUCCGUGGAAAGUGGUGCAUGGCCGUUUUGGUUGGUGGAUCGAUCCGUCUGGUUAAUUCCGUUAACGAACGAGACCUCGGCACUCCGAAUAGCGCGGCGGACGUCGCGGCCUCCGGGCCGUCUUCCGCACGAGCUUCUUAGAGGGACCGUCCCCCGCCGGGGAAGGAGGUGCGAGGCAACGACAGGUCUGUGAUGCCCUUAGAUGUUCUGGGCCGCACGCGCAUUACACUGACGCGUCCAACGGGUGACUCCCGACCCGAAGGGGCCGGGGAAUCCGCAAGGCGCGUCGUGAUGGGGAUUGAACGUUGCAAUUGUUGUUCACGAACGAGG